RNAcentral lists this long non-coding RNA (1539 nucleotides) under Anas platyrhynchos platyrhynchos (common mallard). RNAcentral's name for it is "lncRNA (ENSAPLG00000028842.1)". Lineage: Eukaryota; Metazoa; Chordata; Aves; Anseriformes; Anatidae. The record is from RNAcentral.
GCUGGAACUUGGGUAAGAGAGGUGAUAAGUUUGCAGAUAAUAAUGUAUCUCAUCAGUCAUGAAUUGCACAAAUUAAUCUUCAGAUAGGGGCAUGUCAUACAAGAAUUUACAUGCUAGCACUUUAAUUGUCAGAAGCUAGUUUCUAUUAGGCAGAUGGACUGUGAAUGAGUAACAGCAUUUCCCAUUAGUGGAGGGAAAAAGAAAAAUGAAGAAUUCAUCAACCGUCAAUCAAAAUUCAACCAGUAGGCGUAAGCUUGACAAAAAUGUCUGACCCACAUAUCAACAGGACUUUUGGUGACCUGAGAGCAGAAAUCAGGAGGAGUUCAGCUGAAGCACUGACAGCAUCUCUGAGCUGGAAUAAUAUGCAUUGUGGUGGGGCCCCGACCUCUGCUUGGACUUCCAGCUCGGUGAUUCACCACGGCUCUGCCACCUGCUUUCUCUGGAACUGUGAGCCGAAACCCCAGCUGAAAACAGCUCAUGUGGAGACGCAGAGAGCUGCUGUCCCCACAGCCCACUUCUGCUCAGGCUCCCAGCCCUGAAUGACAGCUGUGGGGUUAUAUUUAUCACAGGUGUGUAUCUGACAUUAAAAAAGGGGGGGGGGGGAAAUGCCUUUCCUUUGUGGUAAGAUUUCCCCUUCGUCUGCUGUUUUGAAGGUUUUACAGUUAUUAGAUAGUCAUGUUCAUGAUUGCCUCAUGAAAACUUUGCUGGAGCUUAAAUGCGUAUUCUGUGUGACAACGAUUUUAGUCCUGGCAGGAUCUAAAACAGGGUUUUAAUCCUAGUUAUGUUCUGUUCCACUUAAUUGCCUUACCGAACGCUUGCACUCCGUAUAAAGACAAUCCAUCUUUUCCCCACUUGCUUCUGAAAUAAUCAUUACCUUCCUCUGCAGAAAUUAAAAGAAAAAAAAAGUGAUGUGGGUUAGGAGGAAAUGACAUUGAAAACAGACACCCAAAGAUGUUUUUGAACAAUUCCAAAUGUUUCUUAUGCACUUCACAGAGAUCCUUGCUGGAGCUAAAGGAGUUUUAAUGAAGGAUUUUUCCCUCCUCCCUGCACCAUGCUGCUUCCCCUCCCCUUUCCCAUUCCACAGAGAAGUUUCCAAAAGUAAUCCCAAAAACAAUAUUUAGAUGACUGAAAUGUUAGAGCAUAAUGUUACUGCAUAACACAGCACACCCAGGACUUUCCUCUGGGAUGGAAAUCUUUUAUUUUCUCUAUAUUAAAGGAGAAGUAAACGUGUUGAGGACAAAAAUGGAUGCUUGAAAGGUUAUUUUGCAUUUUUUGCCAUUUUCCUACAUUUUUAUCACUUUGAGCAAAACCAUUAUUUUUUCUAGGGAAUGGAUUGCUGGAAAUAGAAUCUGAAUGCCUUUGGGGGCUGAAGCACUUUCUCUUGGUGAUAGAUGCAGGCCACUCUGCUCAGAUCUCUCAUGUGCUCCCUGCUCUUUGCUCCUAUGUAAUUUCUGAGUGUACAAUUGGAUCAGGUACCAUUUAUACAGCCUACUAAAAACACUGAUAUGUUUUCCUUGGCUUUCAAGUCAACCCAAAACU